This 253-nucleotide ribosomal RNA is filed under the name uncultured bacterium. RNAcentral's name for it is "partial 16S ribosomal RNA". It matches the Rfam family "Bacterial small subunit ribosomal RNA", at positions 524 to 776 of the family's 1533-position model. The record is from RNAcentral.
UACGUAGGGUGCGAGCGUUAAUCGGAAUUACUGGGUGUAAAGCGUGCGCAGGCGGUUUUGUAAGCCGGAUGUGAAAUCCCCGGGCUUAACCUGGGAAUGGCAUUUGGGACUGCAAGGCUUGAGUGCGGCAGAGGAGACUGGAAUUCCUGGUGUAGCAGUGAAAUGCGUAGAUAUCAGGAGGAACACCGAUGGCGAAGGCAGGUCUCUGGGCUGACACUGACGCUCAUGCACGAAAGCGUGGGGAGCAAACAGG